RNAcentral lists this ribosomal RNA (1546 nucleotides) under Anneissia pinguis. RNAcentral's name for it is "16S ribosomal RNA". It matches the Rfam family "Bacterial large subunit ribosomal RNA". The record is from RNAcentral. Lineage: Eukaryota; Metazoa; Echinodermata; Crinoidea; Comatulida; Comatulidae.
AUUUCAAUAAAUUAAUUAUAGCUCUUAAAUAAACAACAAAAAUUCUUUUUUUAAAAAAUAAAAUUAAAAAAUUAAAUAGUAAAAGUAUAAUAAUUAGAAAAACAAAAUUAAGAAGCUAAAACCAAAGUACUGUAAAGGAAAUAUGAAAAAAUUAAAUAACAAUUUAUAAAAAAGAAAAAAUUAAUAAUUUUUACCUUUUGUAUUAUGGUUUAACAACAAAAAAAGAAAAAAAACUCUUUACCCGAAACCAAGGGAUCUAAUGAAACCCCAAUAAAGUGAUUGUAAAGUAUUACUGUUUCAAAAGUAAACUAAGAGGAUUCAUUAGCCAUGAAAAAUGAAACGAACUUGGUGAUAGCUGGUUUUCUGAAUAAAUGAGUAUUAGCUCAAGCUACUACAUUUUUUAUUAAAAAUAAUCAAAAAAUAAAUAGAAAGCUAAACCAAAAGGGAUAAGCUUUUUGGUUAAAGGAAAAAACCUAAAAAAAUAGUUAAAGUCAAAAAUAACACAUGAAAGAAAUAACGUAUAGUAGGCCUAGAAGCAGCCACCUAAGAAAAAGCGUUAAAGCAUAACAAAAAACAAUAUCAAUAAUUUAUGAAAAAAAAACUAUAACUCUUAAUUAAUUAACAGAAUAAUAGCUAUUAAGCUAAAAAAUAAUGUUAAAAUUAGUACUUUUUAUUUUGAUUCAGUUAAAAAUAAACUAUCCUAACAAUUUUUAAUGGAAGAAAGAAAAUAAUAUUACCAAGAAAAAAAUUUUCAUAAUAGUUAACCCAACACUGGAAAUCAACCAAAAUAAUAAAUAAUAGAAAGGAACUCGGCAAAAUUAGCCUCGCCUGUUUACCAAAAACAUCGCUCCUUGUAAAAAAUUAAUAAGGAGUACUGCCUGCCCAGUGACUAAAAAUUCAACGGCCGCGGUAUCUUGACCGUGCAAAGGUAGCAUAAUAAUUUGCUCUUUAAUUGAGGGCUAGUAUGAAAGGCAAGACGAAGGCUCAACUGUCUCCCUAUUAAAUAAAGAAAUUUAUAUUUUAGUGAAGAAGCUAAAAUAUAAACGCAAGACGAGAAGACCCUGUCGAGCUUAAGAAAAUUUUUAUAUUUACAAAAAACAAAGCUAAUAAAUAAUAAUACUUAUAUAUAAACAAAAAAUAGAAAUAUCUUUGGUUGGGGCAACCACGAAGAAAAAAAAACCUUCGAUUUUUAAAAAAAAUAAACAAAUUUAAAAACUAUAAAGAUAUAAUAAUGAUCCGGAACUACCGAACAAAGAAAAAAGUUACCGCAGGGAUAACAGCGUUAUUCUCUUUAAGAGCUCGUAUUGACAAGAGAGUUUGCGACCUCGAUGUUGGACCGGGGCACCCAAGAGAUGCAGAAGUCUCUAAAGGUAGGUCUGUUCGACCUUUAAAGCCCUACGCGAUCUGAGUUCAGACCGACGCAAGUCAGGUCAGUUUCUAUCUACGUAAAAAAGCAGCCUUAUUAGUACGAAAGGAAUUUAAAGCAGGAACUAAUUAUUCUAGAAAAACUCCAAAUAAAAAACUGAAAAAAAAUUAAGAAAGCUUU